AGGACGAACGCUGGCGGCGUGCUUAACACAUGCAAGUCGAGCGGAAAGGCCCUUCGGGGUACUCGAGCGGCGAACGGGUGAGUAACACGUGAGCAACCUGCCCUUGGCUCUGGGAUAGCCUCCGGAAACGGGGAUUAAUACCGGACAUGACCUUCUCCUGCAUGGGGGAGGGUGGAAAGUUUUUCGGCCAGGGAGGGGCUCGCGGCCUAUCAGCUUGGUUGGGGGGGUAACGGCCCGACCGAACGGCGACGGACGGGUACGCC
Molecule: ribosomal RNA, 263 nt
Filed under: uncultured bacterium
Lineage: Bacteria
Description: partial small subunit ribosomal RNA
Rfam family: Bacterial small subunit ribosomal RNA
Source: RNAcentral